This 1039-nucleotide long non-coding RNA is filed under the name Populus tremula. RNAcentral describes it as "long non-coding RNA (PTRE_LNC000531)". Lineage: Eukaryota; Viridiplantae; Streptophyta; Magnoliopsida; Malpighiales; Salicaceae. The record is from RNAcentral.
UUUUUUCUCUCUAAAAAAAUAGAAUUCACAAGAAAUCAAAGUGCACUUGAAAUUUUUUCCCAGUUACACCUACUUGUAAAUCAAAAAAUAUAAUAAGAAUAAAAAAAAACAAGAAUCAUACUUCUGUAGCAAAAAGCCAUAAUUUUCUCAGUUGCUUGUUUAGCCAUUUCACCUGCAAGAUGCAACCAGAGUAUGAAUUAGUAAUGAAUCACAUCCUAACAACGAUGCAGAAGGUGAUUUUUUUUUCUUAAUACAUGAUAUGUUGUCCUUUAGCUUCACAAAAAACCCACCAGUAUUUUCAAAUCAUCUCUGUCGAUACAUAUUUUCUUCAAAUCAUCUCUGUUGAGUGACCCAAGAAGUUUUAUAUCAAUUGUCUACAGACAGAAAUUCGAGUUCGCAUUUAACUUUCCAAAUUCAAUGCACCUCAUAGUAUUUUCAAGCAACUUCUACAGAACAAAUAAUAAAGAGAGAGAAAGGAAAACGACAUGUAUCUCAAUCAAAAUUAACAAACCUUAGCAACUCUUUUGGUGCUUCGGUUCUGCAUCAUGUGUUUCCAUUCAGGCUCCAGCCAUCAACCCGAUUCAAAAGAUGAUCCCCAAAAAUAUCCCUGAAAUCAGCCCCAUUUCCCCCAAUUCCAAGCACAACUAAACCUAAUCCACCAAAAAGAAAAAUAAAACACAACGACAAACAAAUUAGAAAGAAAAUAAAAUCAAAUAGUGGUGCAUUACGUCUAUAAAUUGCUACUGUUAUUGUAUGGAGAGGCUGAGAGAGGAAUUUACAGUGGAGAGUUGUUUGUUUUCUCUCUCUUAAAAGUAACGGUUCCUUUCUUUCUUGAGUGGGAGAUGCAAGCAUUUAAUAUUACUCCAUGAGAAAAAUAAAAACUAAUGGAAGAGCAGAGGGAGGGCCAGGUAUGGCAGAGGAAGGAGAGCGAGAACGCUGCUAUUAAUGAGAGGAAGCCGUGAGGUGUGAGUCAUCGAUCUCAAAGAUUUUCUCAUCAGAGAUAAGGAAUUUAGGAUAAAGCGUGGAUGAGUGACAAUUG